Molecule: long non-coding RNA, 452 nt
Filed under: Salvia miltiorrhiza (redroot sage)
Lineage: Eukaryota; Viridiplantae; Streptophyta; Magnoliopsida; Lamiales; Lamiaceae
Description: long non-coding RNA (SMIL_LNC004102)
Source: RNAcentral
GUCUCUCGGCGUCGGAAAUUCGCGCCACCACAAGCUCCUUCGCUCAGCGAUUGACGAGUCGAGAUCUGCUCCAUCUCUCUCUCUCGGCGUCGGAAAUCAGCCGCCUGCCGCACCAUCUCCAGCGAAUCGCCGCCGCCGUCUCUGAGCUGGUCGUGGUAGCCGCCGCACCAUCUCCACCACCGAGGCAAGCCGUGACAACCACCACCACGGAACCCUCACUCACGCAUCUCCUCCCCUCUUCCCCCACCGGUGAUCUCUGUCACCAAUAUCCACACCUCCAUCAACGAUCGACGACCUUGUCCCUGCGCCGCCGCUGUAACCGAACAAACUCAUGCCGGAGAAGAUGGAUCCGGCGGCGGUGGUGGAAGUGUGCGUGCCGUGGCCGUCGUCGUCGCGCGGUGAUCUCAAUUCCUUGGAUUCAUCAAUCGGUGGCGUAAUCGGAGGCAUCGCAG